CAGCCGCCACGGUAAUACGUAGGUGGCAAGCGUUGUCCGGAAUUAUUGGGCGUAAAGCGCGCGCAGGCGGAUCAGUCAGUCUGUCUUAAAAGUUCGGGGCUUAACCCCGUGAUGGGAUGGAAACUGCUGAUCUAGAGUAUCGGAGAGGAAAGUGGAAUUCCUAGUGUAGCGGUGAAAUGCGUAGAUAUUAGGAAGAACACCAGUGGCGAAGGCGACUUUCUGGACGAAAACUGACGCUGAGGCGCGAAAGCCAGGGGAGCGAACGGGAUUAGAGACCCCCGUAGUCCCUGUCUCUUAUACC
This 301-nucleotide ribosomal RNA is filed under the name uncultured bacterium. RNAcentral describes it as "partial 16S ribosomal RNA". It matches the Rfam family "Bacterial small subunit ribosomal RNA", at positions 509 to 808 of the family's 1533-position model. The record is from RNAcentral.